CGUGUAGGCGGUUGGUCAAGUCCGGUGUGAAAGCCCGGAGGCUCAGCUUCGGAAGUGCAUCCGAAACUAGCCGACUGGAGCGCGAUAGAGGAGGGUGGAAUUCCUGGUGUAGCGGUGAAAUGCGUAGAUAUCAGGAGGAACACCGGCGGCGAAGGCGGCCCUCUGGAUCGUUGCUGACGCUGAGACGCGAAAGCGUGGGUAGCAAACAGGAUUAGAUACCCUGGUAGUCCACGCCCUAAACGGUGGGUACUAGGUGUAGGGCUCGUAAGGGUUCUGUGCCGAAGGGAAACCAUUAACGUACCCCGCCUGGGGAGUACGGCCGCAAGGUUGAA
This 332-nucleotide ribosomal RNA is filed under the name uncultured bacterium. Its description in RNAcentral is "bacterial SSU rRNA". It matches the Rfam family "Bacterial small subunit ribosomal RNA", at positions 568 to 898 of the family's 1533-position model. The record is from RNAcentral.